Long non-coding RNA from Hyaena hyaena (striped hyena), 753 nucleotides. RefSeq lists it as uncharacterized. Lineage: Eukaryota; Metazoa; Chordata; Mammalia; Carnivora; Hyaenidae. The record is from RefSeq and is a predicted model, not a curated record. The transcript has 3 exons.
CCGGCGCAGUCCCCUCCUCGCCGCUCCUCAGCUGGGAGCCGCCCCGGCCCAGGGCCCUUCAGUCACACCUCCGGGUCCCCCUCACUCGCACACCGCAGUCUCUGACUGGUGCUGUUGACUGUUCCAGCUCUGUCUCGCCCUUCAUUCAGGUCUCUUCAAAGGUCAUCUGCUUCCUUAACCACCUACAGAAGUCAACUCCCGCCCACCCCAGUCGCUCCCGGGCUGGAUCCCGCUCCUGUUCUUCUCUGUGGCCCCGGAAGACCUUGUCUAUUCAUGUAUUACCCACCUACCCCCAACACAAGGUCAGCUCCACGAGGGGAGGGAUUCAUCGGAGCCUAGAACAGUGCCUGGCACACGGCAGGGCCUCAGUGAGCAUCUUUGAGAGAGACUUGAUCCUAAUUACCUGCAGAGAAGAGGCAGUUUCGAGAAGAAACAGGACAGAAAAGCAAGAAGGAAACCAUGAGCAAGAGCUCAGCCGAGGGAGCACUGUGGGGCGUCCCUUUCUUGUCCUGAACCACAGACUUAGGACGCCACGACUCUGGGGUGAGAAGGUUCGUCCCAGACCCCCUGAUGUCAUAAGAUGAAAAAGCACCAUAUGAAGUCCAGCCAGUGAGCGGAAAGAUGCGUAAACACCCACGCCUCCCGCACAACUGCCUCAUACGGAGGCCUUCUCUCCUCCUGAACAGGACUGUGUGUUUAAUUACAGUGAGUAACUAUAUUUGCUUUGCAGAACCGUUUAUACCCAAAGCUAUG